This 52-nucleotide transfer RNA is filed under the name Aneides lugubris. RNAcentral's name for it is "partial tRNA-His". The record is from RNAcentral. Lineage: Eukaryota; Metazoa; Chordata; Amphibia; Caudata; Plethodontidae.
GUAUAUAUAAUUUAAAUAAAAUAUUAAACUGUGACUUUAAUUAUGAGAGUUA